Molecule: long non-coding RNA, 263 nt
Filed under: Homo sapiens (human)
Lineage: Eukaryota; Metazoa; Chordata; Mammalia; Primates; Hominidae
Description: non-protein coding lnc-BRF1-31:2
Source: RNAcentral
UCUGGAUUCACCUUCAGUAGCUACUGGAUGCACUGGGUCCGCCAAGCUCCAGGGAAGGGGCUGGUGUGGGUCUCACGUAUUAAUAGUGAUGGGAGUAGCACAAGCUACGCGGACUCCGUGAAGGGCCGAUUCACCAUCUCCAGAGACAACGCCAAGAACACGCUGUAUCUGCAAAUGAACAGUCUGAGAGCCGAGGACACGGCUGUGUAUUACUGUGCAAGAGACACGCUGUGCUACUGGUACUUCGAUCUCUGGGGCCGUGG